UCCUACCUGAUCGAGGUCACCUUAGAAAUGGGGUUGUUUUACGGCGUAGCCUCCCGAACACCCUUUAGCGAAUAGUUUCCACAACGCUUAGGGGACAGAAGACCCAGCCGGACGAUUUGAGGCACGCGGCGGACCGCGUUGCCCAAUACCAAGCGAGGCUUGAGUGGUGAAAUGACGCUCGAACAGGCAUGCCCCCCGGAAUACCAGGGGGCGCAAUGUGCGUUCAAAGAUUCGAUGAUUCACUGAAUUCUGCAAUUCACAUUACUUAUCGCAUUUCGCUGCGUUCUUCAUCGAUGCCAGAACCAAGAGAUCCGUUGUUAAAAGUUUUAAUUUAUUAAUUAAGUUUACUCAGACUGCAAAGUUACGCAAGAGUUUGAAGUGUCCACCCGGAGCCCCCGCCCGAAGGCAGGGUCGCCCCGGAGGCAACAGAGUCGGACAACAAAGGGUUAUGAAUAACCAGGCCGAAGCCCGGGCGUUCUUGUAAUGAUCCCUCCGCAGGUCCCCCUAACGGAAAG
RNAcentral lists this unclassified non-coding RNA (515 nucleotides) under Cladosporium sp. 0609ALT26X3-WH. RNAcentral describes it as "sequence contains ITS1, 5.8S rRNA gene and ITS2". Lineage: Eukaryota; Fungi; Ascomycota; Dothideomycetes; Cladosporiales; Cladosporiaceae. The record is from RNAcentral.